RNAcentral lists this ribosomal RNA (465 nucleotides) under Vreelandella stevensii. RNAcentral's name for it is "partial 16S ribosomal RNA". It matches the Rfam family "Bacterial small subunit ribosomal RNA", at positions 338 to 795 of the family's 1533-position model. The record is from RNAcentral. Lineage: Bacteria; Pseudomonadati; Pseudomonadota; Gammaproteobacteria; Oceanospirillales; Halomonadaceae.
CCUACGGGAGGCUGCAGUGGGGAAUAUUGGACAAUGGGGGCAACCCUGAUCCAGCCAUGCCGCGUGUGUGAAGAAGGCCCUCGGGUUGUAAAGCACUUUCAGUGAGGAAGAACGCCUGGUGGUUAAUACCCAUCAGGAAAGACAUCACUCACAGAAGAAGCACCGGCUAACUCCGUGCCAGCAGCCGCGGUAAUACGGAGGGUGCGAGCGUUAAUCGGAAUUACUGGGCGUAAAGCGCGCGUAGGUGGCUUGAUAAGCCGGUUGUGAAAGCCCCGGGCUCAACCUGGGAACGGCAUCCGGAACUGUCAAGCUAGAGUGCAGGAGAGGAAGGUAGAAUUCCCGGUGUAGCGGUGAAAUGCGUAGAGAUCGGGAGGAAUACCAGUGGCGAAGGCGGCCUUCUGGACUGACACUGACACUGAGGUGCGAAAGCGUGGAUAGCAAACAGGAUUAGAUACCCCGGUAGUC